UGGGGCAUCGCCAAGCGGUAAGGCAGCGGGUUUUGAUCUCGCCAUACCUAGGUUCGAAUCCUAGUGCCCCAG
Transfer RNA from Aeromonas hydrophila subsp. hydrophila ATCC 7966, 72 nucleotides. It matches the Rfam family "tRNA". Rfam says of the family: Transfer RNA (tRNA) molecules are approximately 80 nucleotides in length. The record is from Rfam. Lineage: Bacteria; Pseudomonadati; Pseudomonadota; Gammaproteobacteria; Aeromonadales; Aeromonadaceae.